RNAcentral lists this ribosomal RNA (498 nucleotides) under uncultured bacterium. RNAcentral's name for it is "bacterial SSU rRNA". It matches the Rfam family "Bacterial small subunit ribosomal RNA", at positions 30 to 520 of the family's 1533-position model. The record is from RNAcentral.
AUUGAACGCUGGCGGCAGGCCUAACACAUGCAAGUCGAGCGGUAGAGAGAAGCUUGCUUCUCUUGAGAGCGGCGGACGGGUGAGUAAUGCCUAGGAAUCUGCCUGGUAGUGGGGGAUAACGUUCGGAAACGGACGCCAAUACCGCAUACGUCCUACGGGAGAAAGCAGGGGACCUUCGGGCCUUGCGCUAUCAGAUGAGCCUAGGUCGGAUUAGCUAGUUGGUGAGGUAAUGGCUCACCAAGGCGACGAUCCGUAACUGGUCUGAGAGGAUGAUCAGUCACACUGGAACUGAGACACGGUCCAGACUCCUACGGGAGGCAGCAGUGGGGAAUAUUGGACAAUGGGCGAAAGCCUGAUCCAGCCAUGCCGCGUGUGUGAAGAAGGUCUUCGGAUUGUAAAGCACUUUAAGUUGGGAGGAAGGGCAGUUACCUAAUACGUGAUUGUUUUGACGUUACCGACAGAAUAAGCACCGGCUAACUCUGUGCCAGCAGCCGACGG